GACGAACGCUGGCGGCGUGCUUAACACAUGCAAGUCGAACGGAAAGGCCCUGCUUUUGUGGGGUGCUCGAGUGGCGAACGGGUGAGUAACACGUGAGUAACCUGCCCUUGACUUUGGGAUAACUUCAGGAAACUGGGGCUAAUACCGGAUAGGAGCUCCUGCUGCAUGGUGGGGGUUGGAAAGUUUCGGCGGUUGGGGAUGGACUCGCGGCUUAUCAGCUUGUUGGUGGGGUAGUGGCUUACCAAGGCUUUGACGGGUAGCCGGCCUGAGAGGGUGACCGGCCACAUUGGGACUGAGAUACGGCCCAGACUCCUACGGUAGGCAGCAGUGGGGAAUAUUGCACAAUGGGCGGAAGCGUGAUGAAGCAACGCCGCGUGCGUGAUGACGGCCUUCGGGUUGGAAACCGCUUUCGCCUGUGACGAAGCGUGAGUGACGGUAAUGGGUAAAGAAGCACCGGCUAACUACGUG
This 468-nucleotide ribosomal RNA is filed under the name uncultured bacterium. RNAcentral's name for it is "partial 16S ribosomal RNA". It matches the Rfam family "Bacterial small subunit ribosomal RNA", at positions 28 to 507 of the family's 1533-position model. The record is from RNAcentral.